RNAcentral lists this ribosomal RNA (364 nucleotides) under uncultured bacterium. RNAcentral's name for it is "bacterial SSU rRNA". It matches the Rfam family "Bacterial small subunit ribosomal RNA", at positions 94 to 453 of the family's 1533-position model. The record is from RNAcentral.
AGCGGCGAACGGGUGAGUAACAUGUGGGUAAUCUGCCCUCGGCACCGGGAUAGCCCGGGGAAACCCGGAUUAAUACCGGAUGGCCUUUCGAGUCCUCGGACUCGAAUGAAAAGGUAGCUUCGGCCUCCGGCCGAGGAUGAGCCCGCGGCCGAUUAGCUUGUUGGUGAGGUAACGGCUCACCAAGGCUGCAAUCGGUAGCUGGUCUGAGAGGACGAUCAGCCACACUGGGACUGAGACACGGCCCAGACUCCUACGGGAGGCAGCAGUGGGGAAUCUUGCGCAAUGGGCGAAAGCCUGACGCAGCGACGCCGUGUGCGGGAAGAAGGCCUUCGGGUUGUAAACCGUUUCAGGAGGGACGAAGCCA